AGUGAACGCUGGCGGUAGGCCUAACACAUGCAAGUCGAACGGCAGCACAGGAGAGCUUGCUCUCUGGGUGGCGAGUGGCGGACGGGUGAGGAAUACAUCGGAAUCUACUUUUUCGUGGGGGAUAACGUAGGGAAACUUACGCUAAUACCGCAUACGACCUACGGGUGAAAGCAGGGGACCUUCGGACCUUGCGCGAUUGCAUGAGCCGAAGUCGGAUUAGCUAGUUGGCGGGGUAAAGGCCCACCAAGGCGACGGUCCGUAGCUGGUCUGAGAGGAUGAUCAGCCACACUGGAACUGAGACACGGUCCAGACUCCUACGGGAGGCAGCAGUGGGGAAUAUUGGACAAUGGGCGCAAGCCUGAUCCAGCCAUACCGCGUGGGUGAAGAAGGCCUUCGGGUUGUAAAGCCCUUUUGUUGGGAAAGAAAUCCAGCUGGCUAAUACCCGGUUGGGAUGACGGUACCCAAAGAAUAAGCACCGGCUAACUUCGUGCCAGCCGCCGCCGUAA
This 506-nucleotide ribosomal RNA is filed under the name uncultured bacterium. RNAcentral's name for it is "partial 16S ribosomal RNA". It matches the Rfam family "Bacterial small subunit ribosomal RNA", at positions 29 to 523 of the family's 1533-position model. The record is from RNAcentral.